AAAAUGAACUCUGGAGAGAGGCGCACAGCGUCCGCCGAAGGGAUAACGAUCUCAGGCCAAAGGACAGAGGGGGCAUC
This 77-nucleotide non-coding RNA is filed under the name Shimia thalassica. RNAcentral describes it as "Phaeobacter sp. CECT 7735 Glycine riboswitch aptamer". It matches the Rfam family "Glycine riboswitch aptamer". From Rfam's summary of the family: This family represents the bacterial glycine riboswitch. Glycine riboswitches usually consist of two metabolite-binding aptamers domains with similar structures in tandem. The aptamers cooperatively bind glycine to regulate the expression of downstream genes. The record is from Rfam by way of RNAcentral. RNAcentral also lists the same sequence under 1 other name. Lineage: Bacteria; Pseudomonadati; Pseudomonadota; Alphaproteobacteria; Rhodobacterales; Roseobacteraceae.